AGGUUUGUUACACAUGUAUACUUGUGCCAUGUUGGUGUGCUGCACCCAUCAACUCGUCGGCACCCAUCAACUCGUCCUUUACAUCAGAUGUGCUUAAAAUAAAGAUCGGCAAAUAGGAAGAGUGACUUUGAUCAUCUUGGUAGUACCUAAAUGCAAUCACAUGUACCUUUAGAAGAUGGAGGCAUAGAAAGACUUGACACAUAUAAAAUGUAAUUUAUUCAAGAAGAAAAUGUUGGAAUGAUGUGGUCACAAGUCAAGGAAUAAUGGUAGCAACUACAAGCUUAAAGAAGUAGGAAAUAAUUCUCCCAAGAGCCUCCAGAAGGAAUGCAGCCCUGGUGUCACUUUAUUCUUUAUCCAAUAAAAUUGAUUUUAGAUCUCUAGUCUCAAGGACUGUGAGAGAAUAAAUUUAUGUUGUGUGAAGCCAUCAACUUUCUUACAGUAGUUUCAAGAAACUAAUAUCACAAAUAAACAGAAGUAAAUUAUUAAUAAUUUAUUAGUUGAUUAUCUUUUCAGUAGUAUCAAAAUGACUUGAAAUUCUACCUCUAAUAUAUUAUUUAAUUAUCUACUUCCCUCUGAUUCACACCUUUUCAUUAUCUAAUUAAUGAUAUAAAUUUCAAAGAAAAGUAAAAAUCAGAUAUUUGGUAUAUAAAUGUAACAUAAGUUUUCAUUGUUCUAAACAUUACUUUUGAACAAUAAUAAUUGAAGCUGUAUUUUGCAAACUGUUAUAAUUAGAAUAUCCUCAUAGUGACAUUAAACUAUAAAUAAUACCUUUACUAAUUAUAGAAAUACCUUUAUUUCUUGUGUUUUGUUUUUAAAAUAUUCUUAGAUUCUCUUUCUGGUAAUUAUUGGUGAGUCUGUUUCAGAUCAAUCUUUCUGCUGAUAUUAACAAUAAUCUAUAAAUACUGCACAGCUAACAAGGUAGUAAGAAUUUAUAUGGUUAAAUAUCUAAGAGAAGAGAAAUCAAAUGAGCAGACCUAUGGGUCAUUUAAUGUUCCCAACCACUGAGAAGCAGAGAAACUGAUCAGACUUUUCUUUUUUAUCAGAAUGAAAGAACUAGGGGUAAUAACGGAUUUCAGAUUUACUAAACUUGUAGGGCCCUGGUGAACACUUGAAACAUUUAAGAUAUCACCAUGGGAAGAAAUAAACAAUACCAUAUUCUGACAGAAAUUAUGCUUUUAAAUGUUUUAAUCUCUGAAUAGAUUAAAAUGAUCUAAAUUGGUAGUAUGUCUAAUCUACUUCUUGUCAGAAAGAAAUGUAAAGCAUAUUAGGAUCAAAUGGUGUCUAUAGCAGCUUUCUGCUUAAUAGCCUCAAAUUAGAAGCAACUAAAAUUUCUAUCAAUUAAAGAGUGGUGAAAUAAUUUGUGAUAAGUCAAUACACUGGAAUUUUUUUAUUGAAUAAAAGAAAAUGAAACUAUAAUUAUGAAUACAUAUUAUUAUAAAUAUUAUAUUAAGUUAAAAAUGGUAGAAGAAAGAAAGCCUACAUAAAUUAUAAUUUCCAAUAUUAACAUUCUUUAAAAAUGUAAAAUUAUAAGGAAAAAGAUCAGGACCAGGAUGCUGAAAGUGUUUCAUAGCAAAGAGGCUUUAGGGAACUUUCUGCUGUAGUGGUAAUAAUCUGCGUCUAGAUUGAAGAGGUAGCUACAUGACUGUAUAUGUUUGUUGAAACUAAUUAAACUUACAAAUGGUUAUUUAUGUGAUUUAUAUCUCAUUAAACCUGAUUUAAAUACAAAAAAAAGAGAUGAUGUAAAAAAAUAAAAAUGCAAUGCAAAAACUGUAAUACUUAAAUCCAACAAAGAGCUUUUAUCUGGAAUAUAUAAAGUCAUCUCAUUGCUAAAUAAUAAGGGGACUUCACUAGGAAAAUGCUGAAUAUUAACUAAUAAUGAAGCAGAAUGAAAGCAAAUUUAACUCAAAACAUUUAAAAGAUUAAUAAAUGUUAUAACAGCAGACAAUAAUAAAUAGAAAAUAGAAAAAUGGCAAAUUUGGCUAUUUGAAAAGACUAAUAAGAAUGACAACUCUAAGGCAAUAUUUAACAAAAACUAUAUAAUCUGAAAGCUAUCAUUACAAAUAAUAGGGAAAGCCAAAAAAGAAAGAAUAAGUGAAGCGUAGUAGCAGGAAAAAAAUAGUAAAUUGCACAUUACUAUACAUUUUACAAAUACUGAGUCUCUGUAUGAGCAUAUUAUAAAAUGUAUGUUAAUAACUAUUAUCAUUUAGAUGAAAUCAAUAAAUCUCUAGAAAAAUUACAAAAUUGACAUGGAAGAAUUUUUAAGCCAAAUAUUUCUAUGUCUCUAUUUUAGUAAGUAAAAUAUUGAUUUAUAUUUACUCACAGAAAAAUCCCAGGCUGCCAAAUUUUGUAAAGUUACCAAGCAGAAAAAACACUUCAUAAAAAUGAAAAAUUAGAGGACAUUUUUAUGAACACAGAUGAAUACUUCUAAACAAAAUAUUAGCAUAUUGUAUCUCU
RNAcentral lists this long non-coding RNA (2454 nucleotides) under Papio anubis (olive baboon). RNAcentral describes it as "lncRNA (ENSPANG00000040575.1)". The record is from RNAcentral. Lineage: Eukaryota; Metazoa; Chordata; Mammalia; Primates; Cercopithecidae.